RNAcentral lists this ribosomal RNA (450 nucleotides) under uncultured bacterium. RNAcentral describes it as "bacterial SSU rRNA". It matches the Rfam family "Bacterial small subunit ribosomal RNA", at positions 29 to 524 of the family's 1533-position model. The record is from RNAcentral.
AGCGAACGCUGGCGGCAGGCCUAACACAUGCAAGUCGAACGGAACCUUCGGGUUCAGUGGCGGACGGGUGAGUAACACGUGGGAACGUGCCCUAUGGUUCGGAAUAACUCAGGGAAACUUGAGCUAAUACCGGAUAAGCCCUACGGGGGAAAGAUUUAUCGCCAUUGGAGCGGCCCGCGUCUGAUUAGCUAGUUGGUGAGGUAAAGGCUCACCAAGGCUACGAUCAGUAGCUGGUCUGAGAGGAUGAUCAGCCACAUUGGGACUGAGACACGGCCCAAACUCCUACGGGAGGCAGCAGUGGGGAAUCUUGCGCAAUGGGCGAAAGCCUGACGCAGCCAUGCCGCGUGAAUGAUGAAGGUCUUAGGAUUGUAAAAUUCUUUCACCGGGGACGAUAAUGACGGUACCCGGAGAAGAAGCCCCGGCUAACUUCGUGCCAGCAGCCGCAGUAAC